Molecule: long non-coding RNA, 668 nt
Filed under: Androctonus crassicauda
Lineage: Eukaryota; Metazoa; Arthropoda; Arachnida; Scorpiones; Buthidae
Source: RNAcentral
UUGCUUUAUCUAAGUCAAUUAAAUAAUCCAUAUUACAUUUCAGCACGCUUACAAAGUUUACAAAUGUUUUUCUAUAAUGAGAAUAUAAGAUCAGAACCAGGGAUACUUCUAAGUAAGUUAUGUAUUAACAAAGUAGUGUCUGUAGUAGUGUUCUAAGCCUAAAUGAAGACCAGGCAUUCCAUCAGUAAGGAACAGAUGGCUGCUCCAUCCCAACCAACGUUAUUGGGUCAGAUGGCGCGGGCACUAUUUUUCAUCGAUGUCCGUUACUUUUCUCUCAUUUUGGUGGUCAAAUAUCCGUGACGGUCCUAAACUUUUCUUCUCGGUUUUAUCAGUUUUAAGCCUCCUUCUUAGUGUGGUACAGGGGAAAAAACCCAAACUGAUCUGGCCGCUUCAUUUAUGCCUACAUGGCCAUCUCUUACUUACGGUAUAACCGAGAUUGGUCGCUCCUUAUUCCGUAUGGCUCCGAGAGACUUCCUUCGCCUUUAUAUUCUAUGGGCGUGUAUAAAGUAAAGAAAUCUUAUUUUACACGUCGGACAGAUGACUCGAGCCAUUUCACCCAACCUAGUCAAAUGAGAUGUUUUUUCAAUUUUUUAAAAAUGGUUUAUUUUGUUUACUUUUUUAAUUUUCUUUAAAUAAUUUUUGAAAUUACUUUGCGCAUAUGAUUCCAC